This 1416-nucleotide ribosomal RNA is filed under the name metagenome. RNAcentral's name for it is "bacterial SSU rRNA". It matches the Rfam family "Bacterial small subunit ribosomal RNA". The record is from RNAcentral.
GGUGGCGAGUGGCGAACGGGUGAGUAAUGUAUCGGAACGUACCUUUCAGUGGGGGAUAACGUAGCGAAAGUUACGCUAAUACCGCAUAUUCUGUGCGCAGGAAAGCAGGGGAUCGCAAAACCUUGCGCUGAUUGAGCGGCCGAUAUCAGAUUAGCUAGUUGGUGAGGUAAAGGCUCACCAAGGCGACGAUCUGUAGCGGGUCUGAGAGGAUGAUCCGCCACACUGGAACUGAGACACGGUCCAGACUCCUACGGGAGGCAGCAGUGGGGAAUUCUGGACAAUGGGGGCAACCCUGAUCCAGCCAUGCCGCGUGAGUGAAGAAGGCCUUCGGGUUGUAAAGCUCUUUCGGCCGGGAAGAAAUCGCAUAGGUUAAUACCCUGUGCGGAUGACGGUACCGGCAUAAGAAGCACCGGCUAACUACGUGCCAGCAGCCGCGGUAAUACGUAGGGUGCGAGCGUUAAUCGGAAUUACUGGGCGUAAAGCGUGCGCAGGCGGUUUUGUAAGACAGGCGUGAAAUCCCCGGGCUCAACCUGGGAACUGCGCUUGUGACUGCAAGGCUAGAGUAUGGCAGAGGGGGGUGGAAUUCCACGUGUAGCAGUGAAAUGCGUAGAGAUGUGGAGGAACACCAAUGGCGAAGGCAGCCCCCUGGGCCAAUACUGACGCUCAUGCACGAAAGCGUGGGUAGCAAACAGGAUUAGAUACCCUGGUAGUCCACGCCCUAAACGAUGUCAACUAGGUGUUGGGUGGGUAAAACCAUUUAGUACCGGAGCUAACGCGUGAAGUUGACCGCCUGGGGAGUACGGCCGCAAGGUUAAAACUCAAAGGAAUUGACGGGGACCCGCACAAGCGGUGGAUGAUGUGGAUUAAUUCGAUGCAACGCGAAAAACCUUACCUACCCUUGACAUGUCCAGGAGCCUGAAGAGAUUUGGGUGUGCCCGAAAGGGAACUGGAACACAGGUGCUGCAUGGCUGUCGUCAGCUCGUGUCGUGAGAUGUUGGGUUAAGUCCCGCAACGAGCGCAACCCUUGUCGUUAAUUGCCAUCAUUCAGUUGGGCACUUUAACGAGACUGCCGGUGACAAACCGGAGGAAGGUGGGGAUGACGUCAAGUCCUCAUGGCCCUUAUGGGUAGGGCUUCACACGUCAUACAAUGGUCGGUACAAAGGGUCGCCAACCCGCGAGGGGGAGCCAAUCCCAGAAAGCCGAUCGUAGUCCGGAUCGUAGGCUGCAACUCGCCUGCGUGAAGUCGGAAUCGCUAGUAAUCGUGGAUCAGCAUGUCACGGUGAAUACGUUCCCGGGUCUUGUACACACCGCCCGUCACACCAUGGGAGCGGGUUCCGCCAGAAGUAGGUAGCCUAACCGCAAGGGGGGCGCUUACCACGGCGGGGUUCGUGACUGGGGUGAAGUCGUAACAAGGUA